This 253-nucleotide ribosomal RNA is filed under the name uncultured bacterium. RNAcentral describes it as "partial 16S ribosomal RNA". It matches the Rfam family "Bacterial small subunit ribosomal RNA", at positions 524 to 776 of the family's 1533-position model. The record is from RNAcentral.
UACGAAGGGAGCUAGCGUUGUUCGGAAUCACUGGGCGUAAAGCGCACGUAGGCGGAUUUGCCAGUCAGGGGUGAAAUCCCGGGGCUCAACCUCGGAACUGCCUUUGAUACAGCAAGUCUUGAGUUCGAGAGAGGUGGGUGGAAUUCCUAGUGUAGAGGUGAAAUUCGUAGAUAUUAGGAAGAACACCAGUGGCGAAGGCGGCUCACUGGCCCGGUACUGACGCUGAGGCGCGAAAGCGUGGGGAGCAAACAGG